GCAGUGGGAGCCUCUUUUAUGGGGUGACUGCGUACCUUUUGUAUAAUGGGUCAGCGACUUAUAUUCUGUAGCAAGGUUAACCGAAUAGGGGAGCCGAAGGGAAACCGAGUCUUAACCGGGCGUUAAGUUGCAGGGUAUAGACCCGAAACCCGGUGAUCUAGCCAUGGGCAGGUUGAAGGUUGGGUAACACUAACUGGAGGACCGAACCGACUAAUGUUGAAAAAUUAGCGGAUGACUUGUGGCUGGGGGUGAAAGGCCAAUCAAACCGGGAGAUAGCUGGUUCUCCCCGAAAGCUAUUUAGGUAGCGCCUCGUGAAUUCAUCUCCGGGGGUAGAGCACUGUUUCGGCAAGGGGGUCAUCCCGACUUACCAACCCGAUGCAAACUGCGAAUACCGGAGAAUGUUAUCACGGGAGACACACGGCGGGUGCUAACGUCCGUCGUGAAGAGGGAAACAACCCAGACCGCCAGCUAAGGUCCCAAAGUCAUGGUUAAGUGGGAAACGAUGUGGGAAGGCCCAGACAGCCAGGAUGUUGGCUUAGAAGCAGCCAUCAUUUAAAGAAAGCGUAAUAGCUCACUGGUCGAGUCGGCCUGCGCG
RNAcentral lists this ribosomal RNA (595 nucleotides) under Escherichia coli. Its description in RNAcentral is "partial 23S ribosomal RNA". It matches the Rfam family "Bacterial large subunit ribosomal RNA", at positions 570 to 1165 of the family's 2925-position model. The record is from RNAcentral. Lineage: Bacteria; Pseudomonadati; Pseudomonadota; Gammaproteobacteria; Enterobacterales; Enterobacteriaceae.